AUGAACGCUGGCGGCGUGCCUAAUCCAUGCAAGUCGAGCGAACAGACGAGGAGCUUGCUCCUCUGACGUUAGCGGCGGACGGGUGAGUAACACGUGGAUAACCUACCUAUAAGACUGGGAUAACUUCGGGAAACCGGAGCUAAUACCGGAUAAUAUAUUGAACCGCAUGGUUCAAUGGUGAAAGACGGUUUUGCUGUCACUUAUAGAUGGAUCCGCGCCGCAUUAGCUAGUUGGUAAGGUAACGGCUUACCAAGGCAACGAUGCGUAGCCGACCUGAGAGGGUGAUCGGCCACACUGGAACUGAGACACGGUCCAGACUCCUACGGGAGGCAGCAGUAGGGAAUCUUCCGCAAUGGGCGAAAGCCUGACGGAGCAACGCCGCGUGAGUGAUGAAGGUCUUCGGAUCGUAAAACUCUGUUAUUAGGGAAGAACAAAUGUGUAAGUAACUAUGCACGUCUUGACGGUACCUAAUCAGAAAGCCACGGCUAACUACGUG
RNAcentral lists this ribosomal RNA (496 nucleotides) under uncultured bacterium. RNAcentral describes it as "partial 16S ribosomal RNA". It matches the Rfam family "Bacterial small subunit ribosomal RNA", at positions 29 to 507 of the family's 1533-position model. The record is from RNAcentral.